RNAcentral lists this long non-coding RNA (1715 nucleotides) under Marmota monax (woodchuck). Lineage: Eukaryota; Metazoa; Chordata; Mammalia; Rodentia; Sciuridae. The record is from RNAcentral.
CACAUGAGCUAGCUGAGCAUUCUACCACUGAGCCACAACCCCAGCCCCAAGUCUUUAGCAUUUCUUUAGUGGCGGUAAUGUCCUUAACAUCCGCAACUUCCUUAGCCCCAGUUUUACUCCAUCUUUUUAAGUCCAGGUUUUCCAAAUAGUUGUGCUUUGCUUUCUACUCCUGAUCAUCACAAUAAAUUUGGUUAAAAGCUAACAGCAAUAUCCAUGCCACUGCCUGAAUGCUAUGAUGCCUAGAAAUUUUUUCCACCAGAUAAAGAAGUCCAUUGCUUUUAAAAUCAGCCUCAUAGAAUGUCUCAGGACACAGGCAAAAUUCAGACAACCUCUCAGUCAAUUCAGACAACCUCUCAGUCCGAACAUAAUAGGAAUGGCCUCUAGUCCAAUUCCAAUGGAAUACUCCUCUGAACCCUCUUGAGUCCUGUCUUCACGGUCCAUGGUCCUAUUGGCAUUCUGGUCUUCUGAGCUCCCAUUGGCCAUUAAGCUCCACUUACAACAAUCUAAAGCAUUUCCAGCUUGCACUGCUAAACCUCUCAAAAUUUUUCCACCAAUUCCAAAAAGCUCCAAAUGCUUAUGAACCACAUGGUCAGGUUAGUAAUAGGAAUAACUCUUCUUCUUGGUACCAAUUUCUGUUUUAGUCAGCUUUUUUGUAGCUGUGACUGAAAGACCUGACAAGAACAAUUGUAGAAAAAAAAUUUAAAUUGUUUUUCAUGGUUUUAGAGGUUUUCGUCCAUAGCAAACUGGCUCCAUUCCUGGGACUUGAGGUGAGGCAGAACAUCAUGGCAGAAGAGUUAGUGGAAGGAAGCGACUCCCAUGAUGAUCAGGAAGCAGAGAGAGGUCAGGUCUCCACUUGCCAGACACAAAAAGUAUACCCCAAAGCCAUGCCCCAGUUUUCACUUCCUCCAGCCACACCCUGCCACUUCAGCUACCAUUCAGUUAAUCCCUAUUAGGGGAUUGAUUCACUGAUUGUGUUAAGAUUCCUACAACCCAACCACUUCUCCUCUGAUCCUUUUUGCAUUGUCUCACGUGUGAGCUUUUGGGGGACACCUCACAUCCAAACCAUAACGAUACCCAUUUCUUACAAUUCUGUCAUUAUUAAGUGGAAUAAUCCAUGUAGCUGCUUCUAUAAUAUCUGGCAUAUUGUUAAAGUUUAACAUUUUACAAUAGCAAUAAAAGCAUGGCUCGUCAAAAGUAUAGCUAAUUAUCAAAUGUAUCAAAAUUUAUCAUCAUAAUCACAAAGAGAACAGGUAUAAAGCCAAACUGACCUUUUGUAUCCAUGACUUAUCUUCUUUGGGCUGUUUUCUUCCUGUGUAAAUAUGAACAUUAUAAUCUCCCUGAAAACAUUACUGGGUAGAUUAAGGAAGGUUAUGUUAAAAAUAAAUAAAUCAAGUCUUAGGUCCUGGUGAUUAGUAAGUGUUCAAUCAAUUAGAAGUGUUUAAAAAAGAGAACUCAAUGAUAAAGCUCUCUUCUCUGUAAGAAAUAAAAUUCAAUAAUUCUUCUUCUCCAGAGAGGCUUUUCUGUUUAUUUGAAUUACUUCGUGUGUCAAGUGACCGGGCACAUAUCUAAAAGCAUUGAUUGGUCCUGAGUCUACCAGUCAAUCAAAAAGCCAGAGGUUUCCAAACCUUUUCAGCUCAUGGGGGUCUUUAGUUUCUUAGAAAGUAUUUCACAGCACCAUGGUUCAGAAGAAACACCUAAUUAUGCCAUUCAUUAGG